GCAUAUCAAUAAGCGGAGGAAAAGAAACCAACAGGGAUUGCCCUAGUAACGGCGAGUGAAGCGGCAACAGCUCAAAUUUGAAAUCUGGCUUCGGCCCGAGUUGUAAUUUGUAGAGGAAGCUUUUGGUGAGGCACCUUCUGAGUCCCCUGGAACGGGGCGCCAUAGAGGGUGAGAGCCCCGUAUAGUCGGAUGCCGAUCCAAUGUAAAGCUCCUUCGACGAGUCGAGUAGUUUGGGAAUGCUGCUCAAAAUGGGAGGUAAAUUUCUUCUAAAGCUAAAUACCGGCCAGAGACCGAUAGCGCACAAGUAGAGUGAUCGAAAGAUGAAAAGCACUUUGAAAAGAGGGUUAAAUAGCACGUGAAAUUGUUGAAAGGGAAGCGUUUGUGACCAGACUUGCGCCGUUCCGAUCAUCCGGUGUUCUCACCGGUGCACUCGGGGCGGCUCAGGCCAGCAUCGGUUUUGGCGGGGGGAUAAAGGUUCGGGGAACGUAGCUCCUUCGGGAGUGUUAUAGCCCCGGGCGUAAUGCCCUCGCCGGGACCGAGGUUCGCGCAUCUGCAAGGAUGCUGGCGUAAUGGUCAUCAACGACCCGUCUUGAAACACGGACCAAGGAGUCAAGGUUUUGCGCGAGUGUUUGGGUGUAAAACCCGCACGCGUAAUGAAAGUGAACGUAGGUGAGAGCUUCGGCGCAUCAUCGACCGAUCCUGAUGUAUUCGGAUGGAUUUGAGUAAGAGCGUUAAGCCUUGGACCCGAAAGAUGGUGAACUAUGCUUGGAUAGGGUGAAGCCAGAGGAAACUCUGGUGGAGGCUCGCAGCGGUUCUGACGUGCAAAUCGAUCGUCAAAUCUGAGCAUGGGGGCGAAAGACUAAUCGAACCAUCUAGUAGCUGGUUACCGCCGAA
RNAcentral lists this ribosomal RNA (894 nucleotides) under Neurospora sitophila. Its description in RNAcentral is "LSU rRNA". It matches the Rfam family "Eukaryotic large subunit ribosomal RNA", at positions 38 to 965 of the family's 3401-position model. Lineage: Eukaryota; Fungi; Ascomycota; Sordariomycetes; Sordariales; Sordariaceae. The record is from RNAcentral.